UGCCGAACAACUAGCCCUUAAAAUGGUAUGGCGCUCAAGCAUUCUCCCGAUACUCGGCCGCCGGGGCACUGUCUUUGGCGCUGAGAGAGGCGCUAUGGAAGCCCCGGCGAGUAGGAGGGUCGCAGCGGUGAGCGUCGAAGGGACUCGGCGCGAGCCGGCCUGGAGCCGCCGCUGGCGCAGAUCUUGGUGGUAGUAGCAAAUAAUCAAGAGAGAGCCUCGUUGGCUGAUGUGGAGAAGGGUUCCAUGUCAACAUCAGUUGAACAUGGGUGAGUCAGGCCUAAGCCCAAGGAUAAAGUUCCUGUGUCCCAUGUGAUCCCAGGCCUCUAAACGGAGAGAAGAAUGUUUGGAAGGUUAAAGGUCAAGCCUGCGUUGCGCUGCGCUGUGAUGGAGUGUGAAAUUCUGUUGGUCGAGGGCGGGGGCCUCCCGUGCCUGCCUGCGCGUUGGUUGUUGUCGGUGCCCAACCGACCGUCCGUCGUCCGU
This 480-nucleotide ribosomal RNA is filed under the name Palaemon serenus. RNAcentral's name for it is "LSU rRNA". It matches the Rfam family "Eukaryotic large subunit ribosomal RNA", at positions 1295 to 1721 of the family's 3401-position model. The record is from RNAcentral. Lineage: Eukaryota; Metazoa; Arthropoda; Malacostraca; Decapoda; Palaemonidae.